GUGUUGAAACACCAGUUCUCAUUCACUCACCAAAGUUAAGCAUCGUUAAGCCUGGUCAGUACCUAGAUUGGUGACCACUCUGGAAUACUAGGUACUGUAAG
Non-coding RNA from Acanthosepion pharaonis, 101 nucleotides. The record is from the annotation of a GenBank genome assembly. Lineage: Eukaryota; Metazoa; Mollusca; Cephalopoda; Sepiida; Sepiidae.